Molecule: long non-coding RNA, 519 nt
Organism: Bradysia coprophila
Lineage: Eukaryota; Metazoa; Arthropoda; Insecta; Diptera; Sciaridae
Source: RefSeq, a predicted model, not a curated record
UUGUAAUUCAUUUGAAAGAAAGUCAUCGUGGUGUUCUGGUGCUGGCUUCCGAAAUUCAACAUGAGAGCAAUUCUUCGAAGUUUCAUUUUCGUUAUGGUGCUGUGUGCGGUAUUUUUGCCGGGAACGAGCACCAAAUGUAAUUGUUCGUGUGACGACCUAUGCAGUUCCUACAAUACCAGAGCAACUUGUGUUCAGUAUGGGUGUGCACACGGCUAUUGCUGGGCUUCAUGCAGUGCAGCUUUUCUACAGGGCGAGUGGUGCUGGACAACGAAAGGGGCAUUGUGGGACCGCAAUUACGUAAAAUGUGAUUAUGAUUUCGAAUGCAACCCGAAUUGGCAUUGUGCCGGAGCUUGUGCCCUGUUUGAUACGUUCAAUGCGACAAACCCUGAAAUGGACAACACGAAGAACAUCGAGACGAAUAAUGUUUAAGGAGGAGCUUUGCAUUUGUUGAUUAUGUGUUGAUUGUAUUUAGAUACGACAGUGUAAAGCAUAACAUUUCUCACUUAACGAUGUUAGAAA